Molecule: small RNA, 562 nt
Filed under: Pongo abelii (Sumatran orangutan)
Lineage: Eukaryota; Metazoa; Chordata; Mammalia; Primates; Hominidae
Description: retained intron
Source: RNAcentral
CAUAGAUCGAUGUACUUUAAACUUUUUGUCAGCUAAGUUCCAAGGAACCAUGUACCACUGAUACCUGCUUCUUGCUCUUUUCUGGCAUCAGGGUGACUCCAAAUCUUUUAGCAGCACAUUCGCAGGAAGCAGGCUAUCACUAUCUAUAGUGCCAGAGCUUUUAGAGCUAACAAUCAGUCCCCACACUUUGAGCUUUCUGACCAUUGUGAAUGGUUCAGUAACUCCUGCUCGUGCUCCCUGGGAAGGCAUGUAGUAAUGGCUUUCUCUUCUCCAUCCACAGGCUUUGUGGACAUGUGUGUGCAGCAUAUCCCUUCUCCAAAGGUGGGCGCCAAGCCCAAGAUUGAGCACACCUACACUGGCGGUGUGGACUCCGACCUCGGCGAGGCUAUGAGUGACUGUGACCCUGAUGGCCCCCUGAUGUGCCACACUACUAAGAUGUACAGCACAGAUGAUGGAGUCCAGUUUCACGCCUUUGGCCGGGUGCUGAGUGGCACCAUUCAUGCUGGGCAGCCUGUGAAGGUACUGGGGGAGAACUACACCCUGGAGGAUGAGGAAGACUCCC